GCCCCUACAGCUAAGCUUCUCCUAUAUGCAUAUUCUUGCUAUCUGUAAAGUUCUUUUAUCUAUUCUCUAGCCUUGUUAUAUUGUACUCUAUUUACACUUUCAAUUGUGCUAUAUUUACAAUCUUGCUUCAACUGUUUUAUCAUCUCCUGUGGAUGAGGAACCCUUAGUUGCCAUAACGCUUCAUUCCUAGCCUUCCAGAUUCCAUAGACAAGUGCUGCUAGUACAGCCAUAAUAAAGGAUCUAUUCACUCUUCCCUUCACAUUUCUCAUGAUUCUUCUCCAUAAGCCUAGCAUCUCUGUGUUUCUCACACUUAUUUUCAACCACUAGAGGAUUUCAGUUAGGUAUAUCUUAGAGAAUUGGCACUCAAACAUUAGGUGCUCUACUGAUUCAGGUAAGCUCUCGCAUAAAAGGCAUGUAAUAUCUUGGCAUAUUCCCAUUAUACUCAGCCUCUCUCUUGUCUGUAGUUUCUUGUGAACAACCAACCAGCGGAUGAGUCUAUGUUUGGGUAUAUUCAUAUUGUUCUACACCCAUCUACUCUUAGACCAUCUUGGUGCAUUCCUUUUAAGCCAGCUAUAUCCCCCACCAAUUGGUGUAUUUAGCAGUGCAAGUUAGCCAUCCAUUCUGGAUAUACCCAGUUUCCAACUUAUCUCUCAUUAUGUAGAUUUUUUUCCAGUACCAACAUAAGUCCUGAGGCUGUCUAUAUUCCCACCAAUCCCUCCCCUUCAGGUACACAUGAUCAACACAUUUUACCCACAAGUUGUCUUCUUUCUUUGCUAUAUCCUAUACAUAUUUUUCAAUUGUAGUUUCAUUCCAUUUUACAUAGUCUCUGAUCCCCAAUCCUCCUUUCUUUUUAUGUCUAGUAACCACAUCCCAUGCCACUAGAGGUGUUCUAUUUGUUUCUACUUUACCAUUCCAAAGGAAGUUCCAACAGAUUGCUGCAAUUCUCUUCAUCACCAGUUUUGGAAGAAUGAAGAUCGAUGCCCAGUAUAUGUGUACAUGCAUGAGUACUGAGUUAAUAAGUUGCACCCUGCCUGCAUAAGACAAAUUUCUUGUCCCCAUCCUCUAAUUCUACUAGUUAUGUUUUGUGCCAAUAAAUCACAAUCUGUUGCUGAUAUCUUUCUUGCUAAUAUUGUGACUCCUAAGUAUCUGAAUGGAAGUGCCCCUUCUUGUAUCCUGUUAAUUCACAUAAGUCCUCUAAGCAUGACUCCUCCAUAUUAGCAUUGAAAAUAUUUGACUUAUCAACAUUAGUGUAUAGCCCUGAUGAGUGAGAGAAACUUUUCAGGCCCCUAAGCAUCAAUAUGACUGAAUGGAAGUCUCCUAUGCUAAAUAAUAGCACAUCAUCAACAAAACAUAAGUGGUUGAGAUGCAGGCUUUUAUAUUUUGUAUGAUAGUGGAAUCCUUCCUGAUUAGCUACAACCUUCAUAAUCCUAGUGAAGUACUCCAUGCAUAUUAUAAACAAUAAUGGAGAUAUGGGAUCCCUUUGUCUCAAUCCUCUUUUGCCUAUGAUUUUCCCAUACAUUCCUCCAUUUAGAGCCAGUGUAUAUUGUGUUGAAGUGAUGCAAACCAUUAUCUAUCUUAUAAAUCUUUCAAGAAAAUUAAGAGCAUAUAGCAUUUCUUGAACAAACUCCCACUCAACAGUGUCAUAAUCCUUCAUGAUAUCUACUUUAAUGAGGCAACUUUUUGUAGAAUUCUUUCUAUUGUACAAUCUCACUAAGUCUUGGCAUAUAAGUAUAUUCUGCACAAUGGUUCUAUUUGCCACAAAUGCACCCUGGUUAUGUGAUAUGACUGUAGGAAGUACUUCCUUGAGUCUGUUGCAUAGCAUCUUAGAAAUUAUCUUAUAGACUGUGUUGCAGUAGGCUAUUGGUCUGUAUUCACUUACUGACUCUGCAUGGUUGCUUUUAGGUAUGAGAGUAAUGGUUGUGUUGUUCAUUAUCUUCAACAAUUUACCAUUGUCAAAAAAUUCCAACACUGCAUCACAUAUAUCUUUCCCUACUAUCUCCCAGUUGUCUUUAAAAAAUUGACUUACAUAUUCAUUAGGACCUGGGGAUUUAUCUCCUAGUAUUGCCCAUAAGGCUUAUUUAACCUCUUUUUAUGUGAAGUCAUCCUCCAGCAUGCUUCUUUAUGCCACUGAUACUAUUGCUCCUUUCCUGACCAAAUUGCUAUUGACAUGAACUCUUUGUGUAGCUUUUGUUCCCAGCAACUCUUUGUAAUAAUCCAGAAAAGCUAUUGCAAUCUCUUCUAUUUCUGUUUUUGUUUCUCCCUUGUCAUUUCUAAUAUUAAACACUCUUGUUGCAUUCCUUCUGCUCUUCAUGUAAUUGUGGAGGUAUUUUGUAUUUUGGUCACCUCCCUGAAGCCAUUGUGCUUUGCUUUUUUGUUGUAAAUAUAAUUCCCUUGCCUUGUUCCACCUCUUGCACUCAUGAAUUAGCUUGCGUUCCUCCUCUAACAGUGCCAUGUUCUGUGGAUCCUGCUGUAUAUUGCUUUGACAUGCCAUCAGAUGUCUCAUUGCUUCUUCUGCUCUCAUUUCAACAUUGCUAAAUCUUGUUCUAUUUAACUCUUGCAAGGCUUUAAGGCUUUUUUCAAGUUAUUCAACUUGCCAACUAACUGGAACAUCUUUGUACCUGGACAAUGGUCAUACAACCCCUCAUUCAUAAAAUGAACCUCUGAUGCCGGCAGUUGAGUAAGCCAGUCUAUAUUGGUCAACACUAUGUCAAUCCUACUAUACACUCUAUCGGUCCCUUGUUGUUUGCUAUUCCAUGUAUAGAAGGCUCCCGAUGAUUUUAAUUCCUGCAAUUCACAUUGGUCUAUACAUUGUCUGAAUUCCCUCAUUUCUCUCACUAUGGCUGCCCUUCCUAUUCUCUCAUUAGAAUUGAGAAUACAGUUAAAAUCU
Long non-coding RNA from Nicotiana tabacum (common tobacco), 2887 nucleotides. RefSeq lists it as uncharacterized. Lineage: Eukaryota; Viridiplantae; Streptophyta; Magnoliopsida; Solanales; Solanaceae. The record is from RefSeq and is a predicted model, not a curated record.